CCACAUCAGAAUCUUCAUCCUCAGUGCUCUCAUCUUCAUCAUCUGCCUUGGCAUCUUUACUAGGUUCCACAAUCUUAACCUUCUGCUUACCUGAAGCAGAAUCCUUUGCAGCAUUAGACUUCUCUGCCUCCUUAACCUUAGCCUCAGGUUUCCCUAAAGUCAGUUAACCAAGUAGAUAAUAAUAUUAGGAAAUAAAAAGGUAUGUUGCAUUUGUAAAAUCUGAAUUAGCUUCAGGUUUCCCUAAAACCAGUUAACCAAGUAGAUAAUAUUAUUAGGAAAUAAAAAGGUAUGUUGCAUUUGUAAAAUUGACAUA
Molecule: long non-coding RNA, 313 nt
Filed under: Nicotiana benthamiana
Lineage: Eukaryota; Viridiplantae; Streptophyta; Magnoliopsida; Solanales; Solanaceae
Description: long non-coding RNA (NBEN_LNC029334)
Source: RNAcentral